AACUAGACAGAACUUUAAGCUCAGGUUUGCCUCAGUUCAUAUAAACAAACAGAAUGCCUACUCUCCUGAAUGGGGGAGGUCCAGAAAAGGAUAUCAUGUCCCAGUGAUGUGGGAAGGUUUUCUGGUGGUUUGUGGCCAAGGACCACCGUCCUACAGCAAGGUGCUACAGCAAAUCAGCCACUCUGAUUUGGCAUCUCCUUUGGCUGAGUUACAGAGCAGAGUUUCUGAGGCUCAGAAUUAUAAUCCUGCUUCCUCCCCUUUGUCUAUGGCUAUUCUCAAGGAUAUUUAUUUCUUCUGGCACUCCUGAUGCUUCCCAUUGCUUGAAGCAGGAACACACCUCAUGCCGGGGAACCAAAGAUGAUUCGUUAUGAUGCCUGGCCAGCACCUGUUUAAAAAUCUCACAUUAAUAGAGAAAGAUUUUAUAUAUCACUAAACUUAGAAUCCCUUCCAGUUCAACAGACUCCAAAAAUAUCUGCCACAUUUGUAUUAAGAUUAUGUGUAGGACUCUGAUCUUAAUAUCCCUAUGUUCCAUGCUUUUGGAUAAAAAGUUUUUGUGGGAUUUUAGAUUUUUGUUUUGAUUUAAAAUGUUUUCUUUCACCAUUUUACCUGACCCAUUCUGCUACACGUGAUAAUAUGUAUUAUGAAUAUUUACUUCCCUUUCUAAAGAGGAGAUGAAUAAAAUUGGGGCAUUACCCCUUGUCAGCACCUGCAGAGCUGGCCAGAUUUCUCAAGCCAAGAGCAGAGUUGAACACUGAAGCAGAGCAGAUACACAUGUACUGAGUGCACUAACCAAGCAGUUAAGUACAGAAGAUGAACUGCCAAAGCCAAUCUGCUGCUCCAUGUGAAAAGAGGAGCGGAGUCCUA
Molecule: long non-coding RNA, 864 nt
Filed under: Homo sapiens (human)
Lineage: Eukaryota; Metazoa; Chordata; Mammalia; Primates; Hominidae
Description: HSALNT0153301
Source: RNAcentral